CCAAGGUGGGCGCUCUUGGCUGUUUCCACAUCCUCGGGAUAAGGGAUUUGGCGGCAUUGAGUAGCGGCAGCUCCAGGGAUUUUUUGUAUGCUGUCAGUGGGCUUCGGGUGUGGUGCAAAAGCAUCGUUAGGGGUGCCAGGGGGAUAUCGGUGCCUGUAAUUUUGUUGACCUCUCCCCUAAUUUGUUCCCAGAAAGGGGCAAUUACUGGGCAUGACCACCACAUGUGGAUAUACGUGCCAGGUUGUGUGCCACAUCGCCAGCACAUGCCUGACGUGGUACCGUGCAUGCGGUGCAGUG
Molecule: non-coding RNA, 297 nt
Organism: Pelobates cultripes (western spadefoot toad)
Lineage: Eukaryota; Metazoa; Chordata; Amphibia; Anura; Pelobatidae
Source: the annotation of a GenBank genome assembly